Molecule: ribosomal RNA, 407 nt
Filed under: uncultured bacterium
Lineage: Bacteria
Description: partial 16S ribosomal RNA
Rfam family: Bacterial small subunit ribosomal RNA
Source: RNAcentral
GACGAACGCUGGCGGCGUGCCUAAUACAUGCAAGUAGGACGCAGUUGCGAACGGGUGAGUAACGCGUAGGUAACUACCUAUUAGAGGGGGCUAACUAUUGGAAACGAUAGCUAAUACCGCAUACUAGUAGAUGGACCUGCGUUGUAUUAGCUAGUAGGUAGGGUAAUGGCCUACCUAGGCAACGAUACAUAACCGACCCGGUAGGGUGAUCGGACAACCGUGGACCGGGACACGGCCCAGACUGCUACGGGAGGCAGCAGUAGGGAAACUUCGGAAAUGGGGGGAACCCUGAACGAGCAAAGCCGCGUGAGUGAAGAAGGUUUUCGGAUCGUAAAGCUCUGUUGUUAAGGAAGCGGUACUUAACCAGAAAGGGACGGCUAACUACGUGCCAGCAGCCGCGGUAAUUC